AGGGUUUGAUCAUGGCUCAGAACGAACGCUGGCGGCACGCCUAACACAUGCAAGUCGAGCGAGCCUUCGGGCAAGCGGCGGACGGGUUAGUAACGCGUGGGAACGUACCCUUCUCUAAGGAAUAGCCUCGGGAAACUGAGAGUAAUACCUUAUACGCCCUUCGGGGGAAAGAUUUAUCGGUGAAGGAUCGGCCCGCGUCUGGUUAGAUAGUUGGUGGGGUAAUGGCCUACCAAGUCUACGAUCAGUAGCUGGUUUGAGAGGAUGAUCAGCAACACUGGGACUAAGACACGGCCCAGACUCCUACGGGAGGCAGCAGUGGGGAAUCUUAGACAAUGGGCGAAAGCCUGAUCUAGCGAUGCCGCGUGAGUGAUGAAGGUCUUAGGAUCGUAAAGCUCUUUCGCCAGGGAUGAUAAUGACAGUACCUGGUAAAGAAACCCCGGCUAACUCCGUGCCAGCCGCCGCGGUAAUAC
This 470-nucleotide ribosomal RNA is filed under the name uncultured bacterium. RNAcentral describes it as "bacterial SSU rRNA". It matches the Rfam family "Bacterial small subunit ribosomal RNA", at positions 8 to 526 of the family's 1533-position model. The record is from RNAcentral.